Molecule: ribosomal RNA, 2893 nt
Filed under: Campylobacter coli 132-6
Lineage: Bacteria; Pseudomonadati; Campylobacterota; Epsilonproteobacteria; Campylobacterales; Campylobacteraceae
Description: bacterial LSU rRNA
Rfam family: Bacterial large subunit ribosomal RNA
Source: RNAcentral
AGAGCGAAUGGUGGAUGCCUUGACUGGUAAAGGCGAUGAAGGACGUACUAGACUGCGAUAAGCUACGGGGAGCUGUCAAGAAGCUUUGAUCCGUAGAUUUCCGAAUGGGGCAACCCAAUGUAUAGAGAUAUACAUUACCUAUAUAGGAGCGAACGAGGGGAAUUGAAACAUCUUAGUACCCUCAGGAAAAGAAAUCAAUAGAGAUUGCGUCAGUAGCGGCGAGCGAAAGCGUAAGAGGGCAAACCCAGUGCUUGCACUGGGGGUUGUAGGACUGCAAUGUGCAAGAGGUGAGUUUAGCAGAACAUUCUGGAAAGUAUAGCCAUAGAGGGUGAUAGUCCCGUAUGCGAAAAACAAACCUUAGCUAGCAGUAUCCUGAGUAGGGCGGGACACGAGAAAUCCUGUCUGAAGCUGGGUCGACCACGAUCCAACCCUAAAUACUAAUACCAGAUCGAUAGUGCACAAGUACCGUGAGGGAAAGGUGAAAAGAACUGAGGUGAUCAGAGUGAAAUAGAACCUGAAACCAUUUGCUUACAAUCAUUCAGAGCACUAUGUAGCAAUACAGUGUGAUGGACUGCCUUUUGCAUAAUGAGCCUGCGAGUUGUGGUGUCUGGCAAGGUUAAGCAAACGUGAAGCCGUAGCGAAAGCGAGUCUGAAUAGGGCGCUUAGUCAGAUGCUGCAGACCCGAAACGAAGUGAUCUAUCCAUGAGCAAGUUGAAGCUAGUGUAAGAACUAGUGGAGGACUGAACCCAUAGGCGUUGAAAAGCCCCGGGAUGACUUGUGGAUAGGGGUGAAAGGCCAAUCAAACUUCGUGAUAGCUGGUUCUCUCCGAAAUAUAUUUAGGUAUAGCGUUGUGUCGUAAUAUAAGGGGGUAGAGCACUGAAUGGGCUAGGGCAUACACCAAUGUACCAAACCCUAUCAAACUCCGAAUACCUUAUAUGUAAUCACAGCAGUCAGGCGGCGAGUGAUAAAAUCCGUCGUCAAGAGGGAAACAACCCAGACUACCAGCUAAGGUCCCUAAAUCUUACUUAAGUGGAAAACGAUGUGAAGUUACUUAAACAACCAGGAGGUUGGCUUAGAAGCAGCCAUCCUUUAAAGAAAGCGUAAUAGCUCACUGGUCUAGUGAUUUUGCGCGGAAAAUAUAACGGGGCUAAAGUAAGUACCGAAGCUGUAGACUUGAUUUUAUCAAGUGGUAGGAGAGCGUUCUAUUUGCGUCGAAGGUAUACCGGUAAGGAGUGCUGGAGCGAAUAGAAGUGAGCAUGCAGGCAUGAGUAGCGAUAAUUAAUGUGAGAAUCAUUAACGCCGUAAACCCAAGGUUUCCUACGCGAUGCUCGUCAUCGUAGGGUUAGUCGGGUCCUAAGUCGAGUCCGAAAGGGGUAGACGAUGGCAAAUUGGUUAAUAUUCCAAUACCAACAUUAGUGUGCGAUGGAAGGACGCUUAGGGCUAAGGGGGCUAGCGGAUGGAAGUGCUAGUCUAAGGUCGUAGGAGGUUAUACAGGCAAAUCCGUAUAACAAUACUCCGAGAACUGAAAGGCUUUUUGAAGUCUUCGGAUGGAUAGAAGAACCCCUGAUGCCGUCGAGCCAAGAAAAGUUUCUAAGUUUAGCUAAUGUUGCCCGUACCGUAAACCGACACAGGUGGGUGGGAUGAGUAUUCUAAGGCGCGUGGAAGAACUCUCUUUAAGGAACUCUGCAAAAUAGCACCGUAUCUUCGGUAUAAGGUGUGGUUCGCUUCGUAUUAGGAUUUACUCCGAAAGCGAAGAAACUUACAACAAAGAGUCCCUCCCGACUGUUUACCAAAAACACAGCACUCUGCUAACUCGUAAGAGGAUGUAUAGGGUGUGACGCCUGCCCGGUGCUCGAAGGUUAAUUGAUGGGGUUAGCAUUAGCGAAGCUCUUGAUCGAAGCCCGAGUAAACGGCGGCCGUAACUAUAACGGUCCUAAGGUAGCGAAAUUCCUUGUCGGUUAAAUACCGACCUGCAUGAAUGGCGUAACGAGAUGGGAGCUGUCUCAAAGAGGGAUCCAGUGAAAUUGUAGUGGAGGUGAAAAUUCCUCCUACCCGCGGCAAGACGGAGAGACCCCGUGGACCUUUACUACAGCUUGACACUGCUAUUUGGAUAAGAAUGUGCAGGAUAGGUGGGAGGCUUUGAGUAUAUGACGCCAGUUGUAUAUGAGCCAUUGUUGAGAUACCACUCUUUCUUAUUUGGGUAGCUAACCAGCUUGAGUUAUCCUCAAGUGGGACAAUGUCUGGUGGGUAGUUUGACUGGGGCGGUCGCCUCCCAAAUAAUAACGGAGGCUUACAAAGGUUGGCUCAGAACGGUUGGAAAUCGUUCGUAGAGUAUAAAGGUAUAAGCCAGCUUAACUGCAAGACAUACAAGUCAAGCAGAGACGAAAGUCGGUCUUAGUGAUCCGGUGGUUCUGUGUGGAAGGGCCAUCGCUCAAAGGAUAAAAGGUACCCCGGGGAUAACAGGCUGAUCUCCCCCAAGAGCUCACAUCGACGGGGAGGUUUGGCACCUCGAUGUCGGCUCAUCGCAUCCUGGGGCUGGAGCAGGUCCCAAGGGUAUGGCUGUUCGCCAUUUAAAGCGGUACGCGAGCUGGGUUCAGAACGUCGUGAGACAGUUCGGUCCCUAUCUGCCGUGGGCGUAAGAAGAUUGAAGAGAUUUGACCCUAGUACGAGAGGACCGGGUUGAACAAACCACUGGUGUAGCUGUUGUUCUGCCAAGAGCAUCGCAGCGUAGCUAAGUUUGGAAAGGAUAAACGCUGAAAGCAUCUAAGCGUGAAGCCAACUCUAAGAUGAAUCUUCUCUAAGCUCUCUAGAAGACUACUAGUUUGAUAGGCUGGGUGUGUAAUGGAUGAAAGUCCUUUAGCUGACCAGUACUAAUAGAGCGUUUGGCUUAUCU